Molecule: ribosomal RNA, 429 nt
Filed under: Bacteroidota bacterium
Lineage: Bacteria; Pseudomonadati; Bacteroidota
Description: Bacteroidetes bacterium partial 16S ribosomal RNA
Rfam family: Bacterial small subunit ribosomal RNA
Source: RNAcentral
UAGGGAAUCUUCCGCAAUGGACGCAAGUCUGACGGAGCAACGCCGCGUGAGUGAAGAAGGAUUUCGGUUCGUAAAACUCUGUUGUUAGAGAAGAACAGCGCAUAGAGUAACUGUUAUGCGUGUGACGGUAUCUAACCAGAAAGCCACGGCUAACUACGUGCCAGCAGCCGCGGUAAUACGUAGGUGGCAAGCGUUGUCCGGAUUUAUUGGGCGUAAAGCGAGCGCAGGCGAUCAAUUAAGUCUGAUGUGAAAGCCCCCGGCUCAACCGGGGAGGGUCAUUGGAAACUGGUUGACUUGAGUGCAGAAGAGGAGAGUGGAAUUCCAUGUGUAGCGGUGAAAUGCGUAGAUAUAUGGAGGAACACCAGUGGCGAAGGCGACUCUCUGGUCUGUAACUGACGCUGAGGCUCGAAAGCGUGGGUAGCAAACAGG